RNAcentral lists this ribosomal RNA (433 nucleotides) under uncultured bacterium. RNAcentral's name for it is "bacterial SSU rRNA". It matches the Rfam family "Bacterial small subunit ribosomal RNA", at positions 29 to 507 of the family's 1533-position model. The record is from RNAcentral.
AACGAACGCUGGCGGCAUGCCUAACACAUGCAAGUCGAACGAAGCCUUCGGGCUUAGUGGCGCACGGGUGCGUAACACGUGGGAAUCUGCCCUUCGGUUCGGAAUAACAGUUAGAAAUGACUGCUAAUACCGGAUGAUGACGAAAGUCCAAAGAUUUAUCGCCGAAGGAUGAGCCCGCGUAGGAUCAGGUAGUUGGUAGGGUAAUGGCCUACCAAGCCGACGAUCCUUAGCUGGUCUGAGAGGAUGAUCAGCCACACUGGGACUGAGACACGGCCCAGACUCCUACGGGAGGCAGCAGUGGGGAAUAUUGGACAAUGGGCGAAAGCCUGAUCCAGCAAUGCCGCGUGAGUGAUGAAGGCCUUAGGGUUGUAAAGCUCUUUUACCAGGGAUGAUAAUGACAGUACCUGGAGAAUAAGCUCCGGCUAACUCCGUG